GCCGUCCGGCCCCCUCGCUGUAAUCUUUGCCUUUCUUAAACGCUUAACUCUGAUGCAUUCAUAUCUGUACAAAUUCUGACCUACUUAUCCGAGGGCCCAGUCUACGGCAGGCGAUCAGGAUGGAGCUCUAUUUGCUCGGGCUUCUCAAGCCACUUUGUGCUGCCUCUUCUGAGCCACAUGUGCACGUUGAGCUGGGACAUGUGAAGCACUGUGCACUAUUUCAGAUAGUCUGCAUUUCGUCUCCGGUUCAGGACACUCGGGCUUGAGCUGAGUCCUGACUCUGACUCACAGUUCAGAGUCAUCUUCCGAAGGAAGUACGAUGUCCAGGGGAAGGCCAACUUUUGCCCUGAUGUUCCACGUUCUUCUGGGACCUUCAUUAGCAAGUGAAGCAUUGUGGGCUUCAUAAAAGACCAGGUCCGCCCGGAUUGGAAACAAGGGAUAAUCGCUACUGAGUGGGAAAUUGCCACGUUUGAAAUUACUGCCGGGGAAAAAAAAAGGUUGGUAGAGGUCCACACUUGAGACUCUUCCAUUUUAUGUCCUUCUCAAAGCUUGUUCAUUUAUAUGGAGAAAAGUUCUUUAGUGAAACAUUCAAAAUAACAAACAUCAAUUAGAGGCUGUGCUCGUGAGAUGCCUUUCAUCUUCGGGCCUGGGAGCGCUCCACAAACACUCAUUAAGUCCUUCCAAAUGCUGCUGCCAGCGAGGUACUCGAACCUUCCUUCCCGCUGAGCAGGAAGUGCUGGUGUCAGGAGAUAGUUCUCUGUGUGGGGUGCAGUCAUGGUUUCGAAUGCAUAGUUCCCAAGCCAGGAUAGAGUAGUGGGCAAACUGAGUACCGAUUGAGCCAGAACUCCUUAGCGUAAUCAAGACUGGCAUAUUAGCAAUAACCAAACCCUUCUCUGGGUGAGACGUGCCAUAUUUUCUAAGCUGUAUUCCAAUUUUUCAUCAAAUGAAUGGACUUCAUGGCCUGUUUUCUCUUAAUUGUACGCUCUCUGCCAUAUACCUCACGGAAAGACACAUAUUCAGCUCCCUUUCUGCAAAGAUAUCAGUGACUUUGGAAUCCAACCUCUGUAAACACUGGCAUCCUCAGAAUGAAGGCAAAUGUCUCCAUAACAAAACCUUCCUUGGUCCUUGUGCUUCAUGUUGCUUUCACUUAGAAACUUCUGGCAGUGUAUCUGGAUGACAGUUUGGUGGGUUGGUUGAUUUGUGCCCCAUGUUGAUGCCUCUCCCAGUUGGAAUUUCUUCCUGGUUCCCACCUUUUGGAGAACGCGUUGGAUCGACACUGCCGGGAAGGAGUGGAUCCGAAUGAGCUACUGAGGCAGAAUUCCCGUGGCUUGCCGAGGCUGUGAGGAGCGGGGUCACCCAGAGGUCAGAAAGAGCCUCGGGCGGAACGAACGAACUGUAUUUCCUUAUUUUGGUGAAUGGUACCGUGAGCCACCCUGCUACCCGAACUAGGGCCUGGCAGUUGCCCAUAAUUCCUCCUCGUUCACCUCUAAUUGGUCAUAAAAUCCUGUUGCUAUUACCUGAAGAACGAUCCCCGUGGCAUGAGUUCAAACCCUCAUCGGUUUGGUUUUGUUUUUAACCUGGAUUUUUCCAACAGUGUUCUAACAGGCCUCUUUGUCUCUCAUCUCAGUCCACACGUCAAUUACCUCCACGCUGCUGCCAGGGUGAGUUUUCCGCAGCCCAGAUAGGACUACAUCUGUCCCCUGUCAAACUUCCCCUGGCUCCCCAUCGUCUUCCAGAUAGUACCCAGGGUCACAGGAGGCCACAGCGCGGGGUGUCCUCGGGCCCGAGUCAGCGUGCUCAGUGCCAACCGUCACCACUUGGCCUGCAGGCUGCGUUCCAGCCCUUCCAGCUCUUUCUCACCAUCUGGGGGCUUUGCAGGCCCCUCUGCCUGUUUCGGAUGUCACCUGCUCCAGAAAACCUUCCUGAAAACGGUCCCCUCCACCCAGACCUGGAUGAAGACCCCUUUUAUCUGCCCCCAGAAGCACCCUGUGCUUAUCUGUGUCAAAGCACUUAUCAAACUCAGUCAUUGUGUCCUUGAUUCCUCUAUAGGCAGCGAGCUCUUUGAGGGCAAAGAAUGUCUUUUGUCCCUAAAGCCUCACAUAUGGCAAGGAAUAUAAUAUUGGUGGCUAAAAGUUUGCAAAAUUAGUGAAUUAAGAAUUU
Molecule: long non-coding RNA, 2160 nt
Organism: Hyaena hyaena (striped hyena)
Lineage: Eukaryota; Metazoa; Chordata; Mammalia; Carnivora; Hyaenidae
Exons: 4
Source: RefSeq, a predicted model, not a curated record